GGAUUACAGGCAUGAGCCACCGCGCCCGGCUGAUUCCUCUGUGUUUGAACACUCAAAGCUAAAGGUGUGCCUGGGCUCCUUUUAGUAUGGAAAAGUUAUUAACAUGUGUGAAUAGUUCCAUAAAGCCCUAGACAUUGGAAAUUAAUGAGAAUAUGGAUAAAUUUUAUUUAGAUGUGUUUCUGAAGGUUUGCAUCAAGUGAUUUCAAUGUUUUUAAGAAAUAAUUUUCCAUCAAUAACAGAUACAUGUCAAGAUGGUCUUUAAAUGUUAAACAAUUUUUCUCAAUAAUUUUGCUGAAGUCUUCUGUGUUGUUUGUCCAUAUACAGCACCUCUGUUGAACAGUUGAUUCUGAUUUUAAAUAUAAGGGUUUGGAUAGAAAGGAAAUAAAUUUUGUUUAGGCACUAUGAGAUUCCUAUAUGUUACUAUUUCAACUGUAUUACUCCUCACAAAAAUCUAUGAGAUAGAUUCUAUUAAUCUCAUUUUAUAGAAAAGAAGGCUGAAGAUCUUAGAGCUCAAAUAACUUUAAUCCCAGAGAUCAGGUGAAUGGCAGAGUUGGGCCCAAAGUUUCUGCAAUUUCCUUUGGACUACACUACUUUCACUGGGUACUUUCAGACCAGCGCAAUUUGCAUGACAGCUCUCUCUUUCAAAGAACACCAACCAAAUCGUCCCUUCCUUCAAAGCCCUAUGCCACUGGGCUCCAUGCCUCAAGUUGGGGAAUGGCUAAAUAGAUUGGAAUAGCAGCAUUUAUUACACAAACCCUAUUGUGUUCAGCACAGCCACUUUCACUUUUCAGUGUAAUUAAUCUCCCCAGGGCAAGUGUUUUGUGGGCAUAUUUGCUAUGGGAAGACCAAGCUUUAUGCUUAUGUAUCCUGUGGCAAAAACAGAUCUUCCCAAUGAUGGGAAAAAGUUGUAAUAACUUCAGCUCUUGGUCUCUAAAUCUUUCAGGAGCCUCUAAUGAAACAUAUUUCUACUUUUUUUUUUAUUGUUUACUGGCCUUUCAGAUUAGAAACCUCCCAUGAGGUAGUUCCUUUCGUCAAGACACAGUGGAAUGUAGAUGAUGCUCUCAUGUGUUUAAUGACAAUGAGAUAGAGGGAGUAAGAACAUCACAUGCAUCCACUCUCAGCUAUGUCUAAAACACCAUGGUCAAUUCUCUUGUUAGCCACUUAUCAACUCAGCUUUCCAGACAGUAAAGCCACAUGGUGUACCUUUUAGUGUAUCUGGCAAGUUCACAAUGAAUACUUCAUUGAAAAAUAUUUGAACAAUUGGUGACUCUUAGAUAAAAAGAUGUCUAGACCAACAGCCGACUAUAAAGAUAACUGUUCAGAUGCUGAGUCAGAUUCUACCUAAUGCUCUUAUAUUUGUGCAUGUCCCAAUCAAGAAUGGGAGAAAAAAAAUUGAGAAUUUCCAUUGCCUUAAUCGCCCCAUGUUUCAUCUAUCUCUUUGUUCUUAAUACUAAGCAAGCAACUGAUGGAAUUUCUAAAUUGCUGUUAUUAUUACUUAAAGAAAGCUGUAAGAUUAAAUAGUAUUAAGGGCAGCGGAUGCUAGGAAUACAAGGGACACCAUGGGCAUACAAGAACAGUAAACAAAAACGUGGAUGCAGUGAACAAAACAAUAAUGUUAAUUCUUUCAUGUACUCCUGAUGCUGAAAGGCCAAGGUAAUAAGAUGGUGGGUCUAAUGAUUCUUAUACAAUUUUAGGUCUAUGGGACCUGUAGACCAACUUGGCUAUUUUUUUCACUGAAUUUGUUUGAAUUCUCAUGGAGACACCACCAUGAAACUCAAAAUGUCUACUUGACUUAAUUUUAUUAGCUGAAAAAUACAAAGAAAGCCUUUUUUCAUGUCAUGACGUUAUUUAAAAAUUGGAGGGAAGCUUUCAUUGCAAUCUGUAAAAAGAAAACAGCAGAUCUCAGCAGAGUGGCUGACAGGUGACACAAAUACAAUGCAUGCUAAUGUGCAAAGAGAAAGAACCUUGAGAGUUUAAACUAGCUGCAACAGAAAAAAAAAUCUUUAUCCAGAUAUGUGGUCCCUCAUGAAUUAUACUAUUAUUUUAGUUGAUUUUACCUGACAUUACCGUAUGAUUUUUUUUCCGUGAUAAGAAAAUUGCAGCCAGCCCUUGACAGUUGGUCACAAAUUGACCGAACAAAACAAAAUCAAACAGUGAAGUAAUCCCCAAAUAAAUUUAAUGGAACCUAAAUCCCAAAGGGCAGCACACUUCUGUAGGCAAUGGUCUUAUUUAAUAAAUUUUUCGCUGCUUUCACUUUUAGAGCUAUAUUUACGCAGACAAAUUUAAUUCAUUGGGUUUAUAUUUCCUCUUCCCCUUAGUUUGUCCACCAGGCACAUAUGGAAAGGACUGUAACCAGGUAUGUCAGUGUUCAGCCAAAAAUGAGGACUGUCACCCAGUCAUAGGGAGAUGCACCUGUAUGUCUGGCUACCAUGGAAACCACUGUCUUCUCUGUAUGUGUGUUCUGUGCUCAGCUGUAAUUUAUUGAGGAGGCACUGGUGGGGUUGGGGGUCAUCACUCGGAAUACCAAGGGCAAAUGUUAAUUGAAGCUUCUAAUUCAUAGAAAAUUCUGUUAGAAUUUAUAUUUGACUAGUUGAAAACAUAUACUUUCUGUGUAAUUCAUUCUUCUAUUUUGUCUUUUCUAUUCAAAAUAUUCCCAAGUUCUUCACAAGUAUCCACCAUGGAAAGAAAAAGAAUAAAAAAGAGAAAAAAAAUAAGAAAACAUAAACUUAUUAUUAUGAAUCAACAAAGAGCAAACUACAAUAUAUUUCAAGUGAUUCAUAAAGCAACACGUGGUUGGAUGUGGCUGCAAGGAUUCCUUGGCAACAUCAACUAUAAUUACAGGACUAUGAAAGAAGAUUCAAGAAAAUAUCCAUAAAAGGUGUAGCUGGCUUAAAAGCAAAACGUUCAGCAGCCAAGAACAACUGGACUUUCGUGUUCUCGAGUUCGGAAUGGAGAAUCAAAAUUUUCUCUCAGCAGAGGUCAGAGGAAGCAGACAAACUUACAGCAGAAUCUCAUCACUUGUUCAUAUUUCAGAGGAGAGAUAACUCCAUGCCUUGAAUCAACAACUUGAAGGUGACUGAAAAUAUCAAUAGUAUUUGGAAUGUUGAGUUAACCACAUUAAUUCUUUGGGUAUAUACCCAGGAAUGGGAUUGCUGGCUCAAAUGGCGUGUCAACUGGAGUGAAUUUAAACACUGUUUGCUAUCGCCAUGGGCAGGACUGUGUUCGACGGUGCUCCUGUGGCUCAGGACAGUGUGACCCAAUGACUGGAGUGUGUCACUCUCCACCUGGCCAAAUGGGAACCAGGUGUCAGGAAGGUAACAAUGAUGGCAGGGUCACCUUCUAUGUCCAACCACUACGUUAGCUACGCAGCGAAAGCAGAUUUGGUGCCAAGGAAGAUAACUAUAUGGGCAAUAUUUACAACAGUUUUUUUCUUUUAAUGUGAGUUUCAAAUAACAUGAAAGUGCAUGCUCCCAUAGCGCUAUAUAGAAAAUAGCUUCCUGGAAGAUAAGCAUAAAUUGGAAAAAAAGGUAAAUAAUAACUUAUGCAUACUCUUGACUAAGAAAAAAUUUUUAGAUAACAUUUAUUAACUUUUAUAAAACUGCCAAAAAUUGUGUGUUGGAGAUAUCUAAUUAUAAGAACUAAAGAAUGUUACAUCCUCUUCAACGAGGUUGAACCUGAAGAGGCUCCCUGAGAUCUAUAGAAAAAAUGGGAGACAAAGAGAAAAACACAAUCUGUUGAAAACUGCAAAACUUUCUUCACCUAAUUGUAAUAGUUAUUAUUACUAUCAUAAGGAGAGAAGAGCUGUCAAGUUUCAGAAAACAGGGAUUUUUAGGGAGAAUAAUGGGCCCCUACAAAUCCAAAGUAGGGCCAGCAGAGCAGCCCCUUCUCCAUGGCACACACAGAGAGCAAAACUAAGGACACUUUCCUGAAAAAUAAGGAUUGCGUCAAUAGAAGGGCUAUAAAAACUUCUCUGAAUCCCACUGAACAUCUUAGAGUGGAAAAAAACUGGAAAAAAAAAAAACAAGAAUUGCACAGACAUACCAUGUUUUUAAAUUUGCACCAGGACAGAAAGAAAUUUGUGGGUAAUUAGCAGCCUGAUAACUAAAGGGGAGGUAAACACACACACACACACACAUUAUACACACACACACACACACACACACGCAUGCAUCCUACAUGCUGUGUUAUAUGGAGCUGCACUCUGGAUGAAGAAGGUUUUCUUUUAACUAAGAUCAUUUUUCUAAGCCUAAAUCAAUACUACCCUUCCAGAAAUACCUAGUACAUUGCAAAAUGAAGCUUGUGCAUAAAAUACUCCUCUCAUUUUACAAACAAAAAAAAAUGAAACCAUUCAACGCUUCCCUUGCUUUUUUAGUGCAAAUUCUGUAAGAAGGAAAAAUGAGAAAAGGAAUAUGGAAAAGAAAAGGCAGAUGAACCAAGAGCAGAAAAGUUUUGCCAUGGAGCACAUGAAGAUAUUAACUAGAAUCUCUUCCAAGAAUUCAAAGGAUGUAAUGAAAAAGUGUUCUCUAUAAAAUGUGAGUGCAGUGCAGAGAUACAAGGGUUCAUGGAAUAAAUGAAAAGACAACAAAAGGAAAUGAAAAAGUAAGCUGGCAGAGCUCAAAAAAGAAGUGGAAAUGAAAAUUAAACCUCACAUCACAUAAAUGAAGGCCGUAUUGGGAGCAGGUAAAAAAAGGACAGAAUCUGCUGAUAGUACAGCUAGGUUAAAAAAAAAUGAGGAAAGUGAAAAUGAUGAAAUGGAAAAGAAAUGAGAAAGAAAUAUAUAAUUGGAAGAGGAAAAUAUUUAGAUAUACUAUUCAAGAUUCUUUCUUUGAAAGAAAAGAUCUGAUGCUACAUAUUAAAUUGAGUAUAUUUUAUCCCAGGAAAUAAUAGUUACAGUGGCUGAAAGGCAAGGGGAAACUCCAUUGAGGAUAUCAGGAAAUGUAUGAGCUUACUUAAGAGGAGAAAAAUCAGUCUGACUUUUUACCUCACAGCAAUAUUCAUUACUAACAUACAGCUAAUCAAUGCCUAUUAAGUUCAGGAGGAAAAAAUGUGACAGGUAUUUUAUACACAGUUAAGCUGUUAUUCAAAUAUAACAUGGUGGCAAAUUAACCACUUUUUUAAAGUUGCUGGAAGUACAGUAGCCUUAAAUUUUCUGAAGAAACUAUUGCAAGAUUAAUUUGAGCAGCCAAAUAAUAAAUGAGAAAUAUCUGAUAAAAAGACUAUUAGUAAACAUUAAAUUCAUCAUAAUUAAGGCUAAGUUUAAAACAAUUGUGAAAAUUUUCCUACAUGAUGGAAUAUAAAUAUUAUAAAUUAUAACAAUUUUAAAAUAGCUCUAACAGGGCAUAAACUGGAAAGACAGAGAAUGCGAAGGAGUAUAGCUAUACUGAUUUUAUUUCCUCAUUAAAGUUUGUGGGGUAUGUGGGAUAGAUCUGUGUCAAAACAUAUUGUUUAAAUAUAACAAUUCAAUAAGUAUGUUUAAGUGUAUAAAGGUGCAUUCUAGAAUUUAGAAUGCUUCAAUUGAGAUUUUAAGAAUAAAAAUACAGCCAACUAAAAUCAGGUGGAGAGAAAUGAAAAAAAAAAAAAAAGAGAAAGCAGAAUCAUAUCAAUUUCAAUACCAUUUAUACUGAGUUAACACAUACUAAAUAAUGAAAUUUAUUAUAUUAUGUAAUAUCUGAACUAUCUAAAAAGGAUUCCAUAAAUUAUGUAAGACUAUAUUUAUAAUAUAAGUACGUAGAGAACGUGUAGAGAACAAUGGAGUGCACACACCUUUUCCUAUUGCUCUCUCUUAACACAGUAAAAAUUCCAUACAAUGUAGAAAAUAAACUUAAGUCCCCGAAAUAUGAAGAAAAGAAAGCAGAUUGGAUAAGAACCUUAGAAAUCUAGGAAACAGCAUGAUGGUAAAUUCCCUGGUUUGGUUUUGUUUGUCUCAUAUAUCCCAGAUUGGGUGCUGGAGAAACCUACAACCCGGGGAGGCCAAUGGGUGGAGACAAAGAUCUAAGAUACCUCUGAUUUCUCUAGUCAAAGGACAGGAAAGGCGGCAGUCUAGCAAGGCAGAAAACUUUUAGAAAAUAACUGGUCUUCUUCAGGCAAACACUAUGAAACGAAACUGUAUCCUCAACCCCAAUCCCAUUAGCAAGGGCCAAAUGAGGAGUACACUUCAAACCCCAUCUUGAUGCAAGAAGAUACCCCUCUCUACCCCACAAACCAGGAUUGUGUAAAAAAAAAAAGCAAAGAAUAA
RNA transcript from Sapajus apella (tufted capuchin), 6235 nucleotides. It is a transcript of the gene named EGF-like and EMI domain-containing protein 1, with no coding region annotated. Lineage: Eukaryota; Metazoa; Chordata; Mammalia; Primates; Cebidae. The transcript has 4 exons. The record is from RefSeq and is a predicted model, not a curated record.